This 484-nucleotide ribosomal RNA is filed under the name uncultured bacterium. RNAcentral's name for it is "partial 16S ribosomal RNA". It matches the Rfam family "Bacterial small subunit ribosomal RNA", at positions 30 to 507 of the family's 1533-position model. The record is from RNAcentral.
AUUGAACGCUGGCGGCAGGCCUAACACAUGCAAGUCGAGCGGAUGAAGGGAGCUUGCUCCUGGAUUCAGCGGCGGACGGGUGAGUAAUGCCUAGGAAUCUGCCUGGUAGUGGGGGAUAACGUCCGGAAACGGGCGCUAAUACCGCAUACGUCCUGAGGGAGAAAGUGGGGGAUCUUCGGACCUCACGCUAUCAGAUGAGCCUAGGUCGGAUUAGCUAGUUGGUGGGGUAAAGGCCUACUAAGGCGACGAUCCGUAACUGGUCUGAGAGGAUGAUCAGUCACACUGGAACUGAGACACGGUCCAGACUCCUACGGGAGGCAGCAGUGGGGAAUAUUGGACAAUGGGCGAAAGCCUGAUCCAGCCAUGCCGCGUGUGUGAAGAAGGUCUUCGGAUUGUAAAGCACUUUAAGUUGGGAGGAAGGGCAGUAAGCUAAUACCUUGCUGUUUUGACGUUACCAACAGAAUAAGCACCGGCUAACUUCGUG